GCCGGAAGUCCCGUUCUCUGGGGAGCGGGAACCCUGGCGACCCGUGUCAUGGGAGCGGGUUUCUGUUACGUGGGCUUUAGCGCGAGCUGGGCGGUCGGCCCGGUCCCACCGAACUGCAUAGGGCCGUGUAGCCGGGGGAAGUCAGCCCCCUGCUCUGAGAAGCAGACUCUGCAUCUGUAAAAGGCUAAGCGUGCCCACUGGGGCCUGUGGUCAGGAUUGGCUGCAGUGAGGUCCGCAAAGCCCCUACCGCAUCCUGCGCCUUCGUUAGGGUGAGCAGUCAUGGGGACUCGCAUUGUGCCACCACGUAGCGGGUCUCACUGGGUCCGCUUGUCUGCUCGAGGAGACAGCCGGUGAGGACGGGAGCUGGCCUGCUUUGCCCAGGCUGUAACCUCAGCCUCCGCCCAUACCCACAGUAAGCAUCCAUUCCAUUGAUAUUCGCUAAAUGAGUGAAUUAUUACUAAGACAGAGGGCCGAGUGGAAGCGCCAUAAAUCACGUGAGUGAAUGUAAUUGUUGUCGCUGACCCUAUGGAGCACUUCCCUUGCCAGGCACUCACCCAUCCUAGGUAUGUACUUUACAUGUAAUUGUCAUCUUCAUUUGUCUUCACAACAACCCUGUGAGGUGGGUGCUGUGGUUACUCCCAUUUUACAGAUAGGUAACUGAGGCACACAGAGCAUUUUGUUCAAGGACACACUGCCAGUCAGGGGUAGGAGCAGAAUGAGAACCUAUGGAGCUUGCUCUUAGGCACCCUGCCACACUGCUCACUGUGGGAGAGAAGCAGCCAGGCAGACGUGUGCAGCUUGGAAUUCCUUGCACACAUGGCUGCGGCAGGUCAAUUAGGUGCCCUGGUGUGUGCUGCAAAGAUGGAUACUAUGCGGUCCCUGCUGGGCACUCUGACUACUUCACUGGGCAGCUAGUUUUCCUGUUCACCAAGAGAAUUCUUUCCCAUGGCUUGUCUCAGACCUCCCGCACUCACUACUUCCUCACCGGACUCAAUGACCAUGGGUCUUAUCCCAUUGAGAAAAUGUAAUGCAUAAGAAUGGAAUGCACUCCUUCACAAUCACUUUGGCAUUCAUCGCCUCUUUUCCUCUUGCCCCAAAAGAGGGUCUCUUACAGAGGCCAGUCCCUCUAACUGUGUCCUGGAUCCCUCCCCAUUUGCCUUCUUUAUUAUAGGCAGUGCUCUAAGUGUGGUCUGGGAAUCCCUGGGGAUCCUGAGACCCUUUCAGACUGUCCAUGGGGCCAAAAAAUACUUUCAUAACACUUAAGACUUUACUUGCUUUUUCAUUGUUUUUCUCUCAUAAGUAUAUGGGGGGAUUUUCCAGAAGCUACAUGAUGUGUGAUAUUGCAACAAAUUGAAUGCAAAAGAAGGUAAGAGAUCCAGCGGUCUUGUACUAAGCCAGAUGUUAAAGAGAUCUGCAAAAAUAGAAAACUGCCCCUCUUUUCACUUUUUUGGAAAGUGUAAUUUUUCAUUAGAGAACGUUAACAUCUAAUGGGUUUAUUAUUUUUAAUGAGUUAAUAAAUUUUUUAUCAAUUGUAUUUUCUAACAUGGUAAAUAUUGAUAGAUAUAAACAUAAAUAAAAGUUUUUUGGGAUCCUCAAUACUUUUUAAGAGUGUGAAUGGAUCCUGAGGCCAAAAAGUUUGGUCCUGAGAUCAAAAGGGCUUCAGUUAUUCCCUCUCUCAUGAUAGCCAAGAGUCUCAUUCUUUCUCUUUCUCUCUUUCCCUCCUUCUUGGAACAUGCUCUAGUAUCUCACAUCUUUAAAAAAAAAAUAGAUGAUCUUCUGGUUUCCACCCCAUUUCUCUGCUCCUCUUUAACCUGCUUCUCAGUAGAGCUGUCUAUACAUGCUGUCUUUCAGUUACCAAAUUUCACAGAAGCGUGACUCUCAUUGCCUGGUAACUGGCAUUCUCACAAAUACUUCUUCUCUACUUGGCCGUACAUUACUUGACCUCUCAGUAGCAUUCAGCCCAGUUGAUCACUCCUUUCUGCCUGAAAUACUUCAGGCUUCUCUAAUACCACACCAACUACUCAAUUCUUGGGCCCCACUGGUGACUUCCCUCCUCUGUGUGGCCUUUGGAUGUUAGGGCCCCUCUGACCCUGUCGUAGGUCCUGCUGUUAUGCUUCUCACCAGCCUUGACCCCUCUACUGGAAUGUACUGGAGAUCACUCAGACUUAAGCCAUCCAUAUUGCCCUUGAUCCACUCACCUCCCUCACUCACCUAUUACUUUUUUUUUUUUUUCGAGACGGAGUCUUGCUCUGUCGCCUAGACUGGAGUGCAAUGGUGCGAUCUCGACUCAGUGCAACCUCCACCUCCCAGGUUUCAGCAAUUCUCUGCCUCAGCCUCCCGAGUAGCUGGGAUUACAGGCGUGAGCCACCAUGCCCAGCUGAUUUUUGUAUUUUUAGUAGAGACAGGGUUUCACCAUGUUGGCCAGGCUCGUCUUGAACUCCUGACCUCGUGAUCCGCCUGCCUCGGCCUCCCAAAGUGCUGGGAUUACAGGUGUGAGCUACUGUGCCUGCCCGCACUCACCUAUUCCAAAGCAAUGCUCAAACUAGGAAGCCUUGUUGUUACCCUCAAUGAUCACUACCUCAUACCCCAUAUCUAGUGCUUCAGCAAGUCUUGUCGAUUCUAACACCAGAAUACGUACAUGGUAGCAAUCUCAUCCAUUCUCUCCAAGUUCCCCUGCACUACCUUGCCUUAAAAGCCUUCUUAUGCUAAAAAUAAAAAUCUUUAAAACAGCAUGCAGGGCCACUGGGACCAUCCUACAACCUCAACCUCAUUCUCCCCCCAGGAUCGCUAUGGUCACAAAGCCCAGAAGCCAGCUUGAAUGGGGCUCCUGCUGGCCAGAAUAAUGAAGGACAGUAAAAGAAAUAGGAGUCAUGAGUCCAGGCCCAGGAGCGAUGGACAGAUAGAAUAAAUGCAGGACAAGGGAGGGCACGUGCUUGCAGUAGCAGGCCUAGGGACAAAUGGUCAUGCAGGAGGACUAGAGCUGAAAAGCCAUCAUGUUGCAACCACUGAGUGAAGAUUGAUUCAGGCAAGGAUCAUUCACGGGUGCUUCAUCUCGGGGUUCUUUGGAUGGGGAGCAGGAUAUUUGCAUUGUUUUAAAGGAUAGUCCCACAGAUCACUUAUUACUUACAGGAGAAAAAGUAGUCAUAAUACAAAAGAAAAAUGGACAAUGCUUGGAUACCAUAAUAAAAAUUAACACUACCAACAAGGAGCAUGGACAUUGUGUGGCUUCAGAUGUAAUGUGAAGGACAACCUCCGUUGAAAAGGGCAACUGCUGUAGUAUUCUAAUCUGGAAUGCAUCACCUAAUCCUAUCAUAAGAAGACAUUAGGAAAAAAAAAAUAAAGAUAAUUCCAUUUUUUUAAUGGUUUUUGGUGUUUUGUUUGUUUGUUUGUGACAGAGUCUCGCUGUGUUGCCCAGGCUGGAGUGUAGUGAUGCGAUCUCAGCUCACUGCACCCUCCACCUCCUGGGUUCAAGCGAUGCUGCUGCCUCAGCCUCCCAAGUAGCUGGGAUUACGGGCACACACCACCAAGCCCAGCUAAUUUUUGUAUUUUUAGUAGAGAUAGGGUUUCACCAUGUUGGCCAGGCUGGUCUUGAACUCCUGAUCUCAAGUGAUCUGCCUGCCUCAGCCUUCCAAAGUGCUGGGAUUACAGGCAUGAGCCACUGUGCCCAGCCUGUAACUUACUUUCAAAUGCUUCUGAAAAAAUUAUGUAUUGAUAGAUAGCAAAUAAUAAAGCAAUUGGGGCAAAACGUGCACAGUUUAAGUGGAUCUGAGAAAGGGAGUUGUAUUAGAUAGGGCUGCGGUAACAAAUUUCCACAGACUGGGCAGCUUGGACAACAGAAAUGUAUUGUCUCACAGUCCUGGAAGCAUCUUCAAUCCAAAAGAACCUGAGGGAUAAUUUUAGGUGAUAAACCCUGGCCAAUGUCUGGCUGUGUGGGCAAACAUGGAAUUCUAGUAGGGAAUACCUUAAUGUCUUUUGCACUGGCCUGCUCUCAACAGUGAAGCAGGCCGGGCACGGUGGCUCAUGCCUGUAAUCCCAGCACUUUGGGAGGCUGUGGCAGGAGGAUCACCUGAGGUCAGGAGUUCGAGACCAGCCUGGCCAACAUAGUGAAAUCCCAUCUCUACUAAAACUACAAUGAUUAGUCAGGCGUGGUAGUGGGCACCUGUAAUCUCAGCUACUUGGGAGGCUGAGGCAGGAGAAUUGCUUGAACCAGGGAGGCGGAGGUUGCAGUGAGCCAAGAUUGCGCCACUGCACUCCAGCCUGGACAACAGAGCGAGACUCCGUCUCAAAAAAAAAAAAAAAAAAAAAACAACAGUAACAGUGACGCACACAUAAGUGGUGUACAACUGGAUCAAUGUAGCCAAGAACCCAGAAACUCAAAACCCUUGCUGAUUUCCUUGAACCCAAGGAUAAUUUUUCUAUAUGUUGAAAUGACUAAUUAGAUGAGUCCAUCAUGAAGUUUUGUCACGUGAUUCUCUCUUUUUUCUCCUUAAAGAUCAUCUUCAAUCCAGAGGGUUUUCCUUGUUCCAGGAAACGUCUCACCUCCAUGUGCAGAUUUAAUUUUUACAGAAACUGAAAUUUCCCUCAUUUAUUAUCUAGAUGAGCCCCUAAAAUCUAUUCAAUAAGGUUUGAUCUUUGAUGGAACAGACCAGAGUUGUAUAAUGUGACAGUGGCCCCAAGGAACAGUUUGUAGGAGGAGAUUGUUGUCUUCUCUGAAAAAAACUUCCCAGAAGACAUUGAUGGUUCCCUUAGGUGCCCUGCAGUGGGUCCACUUCCAACAGGCUGAAGCCUGGAUUUGGUGGGUGAGGGUCCUACCUUUUCCUAGAUACCAUUCAGCAUCACUGAAGCCAGUAAACUCACCUCCUGAGGAACCGUUACCAUCUGUACUAUUUACACCCAUGGCAUGAGUCUGCUGCUCAAGACCUUUGAUGAGAAUCUUGAAAAGGAAACCAUGAAUUGCUGGAGAAAAUAUCUUUACACUUAUAUGCAACAGAUGGUCCAUUCCCUCAGUAUUCAAGAAGAAACUCUGGGAUCAUGGAGACCUGGGUGACAAUCACCCUCUGCCCACCCUGCGGGUUUUGGGGGCUUGGAGCUGGUUUUCACCACAAUUCUGUACACCUAAGAGACUGGGCCGUAAGAUCGAGCCUGUAAUUAUCUCACAGGCAUCAGUGAUGAUGUUACGAAUGCAGAUUAUGCCUUCAUGUGGAGAAAGAAACAGUAGGGGCUGAUUAGCCACGAAGAAGUUAAGUACUGGUUUCCACCAUGUCUAUUAAUAAAGAAGGGAAGAAGAGCAAGUACGUGGCAGGGAUGCGUAGCGUGUCCACAUGGAAGCGGAGAGCCUCUCCCUCUCAGAAAUCUGCUUCCCUGACUGCUGUCCUUUUGGUAGUCUCAUAAAAUGGAGACAAGAUUCUCUUCAGCUGUCCUGAGGAGGAAAAAAAAAUAUGACAUAAAAAUAAAUGAGGUAUAAGUAGCUCUUUUGGAAAAGCUACUGUGGUUAUUUUUUCUUUAUUAAAAUAGCUGCUUUAUCUCUCGAAUAUUUACCUUGACAGAUGACGCAGCUGCUCGUUUUAGUUCAAUCAGCCAGAAACUAAAUUGCACAUGUUAAACGUUGUCACUACAAAUAAUUGAUGAUUACUUGUAAACAGGGGGCCAUUUGAGGAUCUAUCUGAGGAUCCUCCAUGGAGAGCGGCUCUCCACAGGCUCAGCAAAGCACCUAGGCAUGUUCUCUUUCCCCUUUAAGAGACUGAUAUACUAUUAAGCUCUUAAUUUCCUUUAAUAGCUACUGGUUGUUUCCUUUCACGGAAAGAAGAAUAAAAUCCACUUAUGUUGCUCCUGAACAAGAUUCCGUGGUGUCGAACACUGAUAUUUAGAAUUUUAAUGAACCCUGGCUGGGCGCAGUGGCUCACGCCUGUAAUCCCAGUGCUUUGGAGACCGAGGCGGAGGGAUCACCUGAGGUCAGGAGUUCGAGAUCAGCCUGGUCCACAUGGUGAAACCCUGUCUCUACUAAAGAUACAAAAAUUAGCCAGGCGUGGUGGCAGGUGCCUGUAAUCCCGGCUACUCAGGAGGCGGAGGCAGGAGAAUCGCUUGAACCCUGGGAGGUGGAGGUUAAGGAGAGCUGAGAUCGCACUACUGCACUCCAGCCUGGGUGACAGAGUGGGACUCUGUCUCAAAAAAUAAUUUUAAUGAAACCUGCCUCCCAAACAUUAUAUUGCAGCAAUCUUAGAAGAAUGCACCACCUCUGGAAUAGAGAAGCAGUUGGGAAAGAAGUGUUUCAUGUUUCCUACACCUGGGCAACAGGCAGGCCCCUGACAACCACAAGUAAUUCUUUCCUGAGAGCCGGGAUCUUGCAACAGCUUGUCAUUAGUGCUGUUUAGCAUUUAAUUUGCCUUUAGUUAGGUAACAAGCAUUUAUGGAUUACCUGUUAGGAACGAAUGCACAGUAUGGGAACAGAGGGAUGAAUGAGGCACAGACUCUGCUCACAGCCUACUUGGACUAGAAAUAUCUACUCAGGAAAGAAAACUUGAAAGCAGUUAGCAAAUGCAAACCGAUAUACCACUACAGGGAAUCAUCACUCUUUCCGAAUUCAAGGCUCUAACUGCUGGCACACUUCUAAGGAAAAAAGAUAUGCGUUUCUGCAUCCCGUCUCAUGAUGGGAGUGAAGAUAUGCCAGUCACGCCUUCUGUGGGCUAAGGAACGGUCCGGCCUUCUCUUCCUCUGCAGAGUCCGGGCGUGAUGGAGACGCAGGAUGGAGGCAGCCAUCACCCAUUGAAAAACAGCCUGUCUGCCAGAUCUGGUGACCCCCCCCUAAGGUCCUUGGUAAAAACUGAGGCCUAGUUGUGUCCAGGAUGGCAGUGAGCUGGGAUUCAUUCAUGGCAGCCCCCAGGAGAUUGCGUUUUUAAACCAGCCCAAGGCAUGUGGUGGACAUGGAUUGGCAGCACCUACAGAUAACGGGGAAGGCUUUCCAAGGGGCCAAACGGUCCAUAGCAGUUAGGGAAGCGAACGUUAGAAGUGCAGGUCAAGGUCUCAGAGUGAGCAGUGUGGCUGGGCCAGAGAGGGCCUUCCAAGUGCAUAGCCAGUGGAGGCAGCUGGACACAGCUGACAUGACAAGGCAAGGCUGGAUCCGUCAGACUCUGGGAAUGCUCCCAGCCAUCAGGCUUCACGGAGCACUGCUUCUGUGCUAAGUUCCUGAUGCCAAGGAAAGUGAGAGAGACAUGGCCCUGGCCUCAAGAAGCUUUCCCGGCAGAUGGCCGUGUAUCCGGGAUAUGUUAAGGGAGGUGUAAUAUUAACCAAAAGUGGAGCUCUGAGCUCCUACCCUUGGCAGAGGGCUUCUUGGAGUAGAUCAUGCCUGGACUGUGCCCAAGGGCGUCUUGGAGUAGAUCGUGCCUGGAUCGCACUGAAUCAGUGUAAGCUGGGUCAAGUCGGGGAAUGGCAACCCAGGCGGAGGGAAGUGCAUACUUGGGACACGGAGGGCACAGACAAGCCGUGGUUCUCUGGCAGUGAGAUGGGUGCCAGGCCACAAACUGGAUCUGAGAGAUUAUUUCCCCAUCUGGGAACUGCAUGUACUAUGGAUUGUAAAGGGUCAACCUGAGAGACAGAAACAGGGAAAAGGCCCUCAACCAUUCACUUCAGUGUCUGGGGAUGCGUGGACUGGGGAAGAGUCUCUGGCUGGCUCCAAUGCGGUCUCUGCUUCUGCAGAGGGGGCCUUGCUCACACAGUCUUCAGACUUGCAUUCCCAGCUGGUGCCCAGCACCACGAAUAUAUGGGAAGAUAACAACUCUAAAGAGGGAUAAAAUGUAUUUUUUGGUCGGUUUUUAUUUUUCAAACACAUUUAGCAUUCUCUGGUUUUUAAAAAAUGCUUUUAAUAGAGCACAGACUCCUUUCCUCAGUGGUGAGGAGACAGAUUUAAGGGCUGUAGCUCAGACAGUCAGUGCCAGCUAGCAUUCAGGGAUCCAAGUGUGAGAAUCAAAUUGUCGUUUGAUGUGUGGAUUUGGCAAAGGCUCAGCACGCCUUGGAGACGGUGCCCGUGGCCCACACUGGGUGGCAGGUGCUUCUGCCUUGGGCUCUCUGCUCCUGCCGGCCGGGCCUGUCAUCGGCUGAAAAGCCGGCAUCUCCCACACCCAUCAGCUCCUCUCUGGAGCUGAGUCGCUGGACACUGUGACCACACUUAAGAGGCACAGCAUGCUCCUGCUGGGUGGAAUUUUAGGACACCUGGUCUGUGACCUCUUCAUUAUGACAUAAAAGGGACCUUCCCUGCAGUCCCACAAAUAGGAACAGAGCAGCACUGGAGCUGGCGCCCGACUCCCGGCAGGGAAGGGUUCUGUCCUCAUUUGGGCGUAUUCUGUUUCUGCCCACCUGGUGUGUGCCCUCCCUGACUCCUGCCCCAUUUCCAGACCCGGCUCACGCGUACUUCUCACACUAAGCAGUCUCACUGAAGCCACCGCUUGGAAUCUGCGGUGUUUACUGUCUGCCCCGCCCCUUUUGUUUGCCCGUUUGUUAUGGAGGUGUGUGUUUAAACGGGCAAAGCAGCGUGCUGCCAGGGACACCAGGAAAGCCCACUUAGCCAUCAACUGGAGACUCUGACAACUAGAAGAAACCUGGAAGGCCACGUGACAGAUAUGGAGACAGGCUGAGAGAAGAGUGGAAGAGGAUGUCAAUGGGCAGGAAUGGAGCCAAACUCUACGGGAGAACGGAGCUGGCCAGGCAGAGCUGCUGGACACCUGAGGCUCCCUCCUUCCACCACAAACACCACUGCCCCAUGGCCUAGAGAGCUCCAGGUGAGCACAGCCAGAACCAUGCUCAGAAGCCAGCACACGAAGGCCUGCAACUGCAGACCCCUAAGAAACCUUGGAGAUGCUCUCAGACAGUGCCCACCUCACUUUGCAGAUGGAGUGACUCACAGCUGGGACAAAGGUCCACUCGCUCUUGCCCCUGCAGUCUACCCACAAAGCAGCCAGGAGAGCUUCUAAAAAUGCAAAGCAGGUGGCGUUCUUCUGAAUAAGCCCUCCCAUGGCUCCCUAUCUUAGUACAAAAGCUGAAAUCUCAUGACCUGUGAGGCCCUCCAGCUGGCUCGCAGCCACCCCUCCAAAACCGAGUGCCUGCCAGCGCAUUGCCCACCCAGCUGCAGCCAGGCCCCCCACUGCUCAGCACCAUCUCCUCAGAGGCCCCCCCAUUCUUCCACGGGCAUGUUCCCUAUCCCCUUAGAGCACGCUUGGGCCUGAACUGAUCUUGGGUUCUGUCGCCUGUCUACCCCACUGGAAUGCAAACUCCACAGAGGCAGGGCUUUCUCUGUCCCCUGCCGCAUCCACAGUGCCGGGAACAGUGCCUGGCAUGGAGCAGGUGCAGUCGAAUGACCGACUCCAUGAAGUGAGGUGAGUCACCCACCACGCAGGGAAGAGUGGACAUGGGUAAACAGGCGCUGCCUGGGCUCCAGGCACACUGACUGCAUCCUGGCUGCUUGACUGAUGUGGUUAAUAAAUUACUAGAAGGCAAGCCCUCUAGGGCACAGCAGACUGGAUACUUGAUUAACCCAGGGUCUGUGUUAAUUCCAGGUGCCAAAAUAAUUUCUAGAAUUUCACCUGAGACCUAGAGGUAGUUCAUUUGAAAAUAAACAUGAUUUUCCAGAAGGCUCGAGCUUUCUCAAGGAAAGCAAUGCCCUGGACUCUCCUUCCACAGGAAAUCAGGAAGACAGGCUUUGGAAUUCCCAGUGGGGAAGCACAGUUGGAGGGGCCGGCCUCGGGCACCACAGUGCGCAACGCUGAACACAGGGCUCCCAGGCAGAGACUGGGAGGUCCCGACACCUGGACCCACAGGUGCACCCGCAUCUCCCAUGCUUUUACCCUUUCUCCUCCACCCCAUUUAUAGAAGUGAUCAGAGGUGAAUGAGGAAAUAGUGGGGGAACUGACCCCCUGGAAAGUCUGAAUUUGAGUGAAAUAAUGGGGAGAAGUGAACCCCUGGAAAGUCUGAAUUCUGCUUCAUCAAAGCCCAACACGGGCCUGUUUCCCUCUGCUGUCAACCCCAGGGAAUGGGGUGUCAACGGGGCCCACAGUCAUAUUGUCCCAAGCACCGACAGCACCGCUGCAGGGACCCCUCUACCCCCACAAGCAGAAACGCUCGACGCAACGCCGGGAACAUGUCUUUAUUAAAGAUGCAAGCAAGCACAGAAGGAUCAUGUGUAGUGCUCAGUAACAUCCAUACAGUACUAAAAAUAGAAAAAUAUAAAUGAAAUUUCACAGAAAGCAGCCUCCCUCACAGAAACACAGGCAAGGUGCUGCCGAGCCCACCAUGCGAUGCCACGUGCCACCUGCCUGGCCACGCUUCUCCCCAUUACAAACAAAAACACAAGCUUCUCUCUACACCCGUUUCAAAUACAGCACCAAGAACGGAGACCCCUUCCACAGCAGCGACCCUCCUGACCACCACUUUGGGUGCUUUCCAGCCACAUAAAUGACAGACAACCCCGGUCCCCACGGGGUUGGCUGGCUACUGGCCCCCGACUCUCCAUCGCUUCAGCGAAUGUGGGUGAGAAAAUUAGGCAGUGAAGCAAUAAAGACCUCACCUUUACUCCCUCAGAUACACGGAGGGAUGAGGUGGACAGACACGCAGGCGGCCGUGCCAACCUGAUCCGAGUGAAACAGGGCUACACUCGCAAAAUGGUCCUCCCACGGCUGAGCGCCUCAGGUGCACAGAACAAACUGAAUGAUAAAGACCCGGGGAUUUUAGAAAUUUACUAUUAAGCAUCUGCUUGCCAGCAUUAGUAGGCUAUCACUUCAGGAAACAAAGUAAGGCUGUGGAAUUCAGCUCAAAUUCCGAGCGCAACUCGGUCCUUUGGUGGCCGACUCUCCACCCACUGCAUGCAAAUGCUCCUGACUGCAUUAGACUCCCACCUGCCAGCCUCACCAGGCAGACUUCCCUCAGCACAUGCUCCGCGGGCUCCUCUGCAUUGGGCCUUUGGAGCCGCCCGCUGGAAGUCUCUGGCAGAAGGACGUCCAUUCUGAAGACCUAGUGAACAAUUUCUGCUCAUUUCAGGAAGGUUCUGAAGAAGUGAACUCCGUCAGAAUAAACAAGUGUCCAGAUUCCCCCCAACAGACCCAACUCAUCCUCUGUUCUCACCACUAUCUCAGAACCAAGUGAGAACAGAAUGGCUGUGCCUUAGAUAAUAAAACUACAAAAAUAAAGAGUUAACCCUGAGAUCUUUCUACCAUUCGGGUGUGGCUCGCUCCUGAUUCCCCUUGGAAAUGAACUUUUAUUUGGUUUACUGACAUUUAUGUAGAUUUCCAGUGAAAAGCUCUAUAAAAUACAAUAAUACGGGGUUGAAAAGGCAGACAUUCUAGUUGCAUAUAUUACAGGCUUUAUCCUUACGGUCCAGGCCAUUGGAACUGCAAUGUGGAGACUGUUUGUAAUCAGACAUGGAGAGGCUGCACGUUCUAAAGGCGAGACAGCUGCUUUCGGUUGGGAAUCAUCACACUCCCUCCGCUCACGCCGCUCUUCCCUUCCCCCGCUGUUUCACACGCUGCUUCCAGAGUUUGUCCAGCAAGGAAUAAAUGAAUGCAUACAGGACUUUUGGCUAGUAGACUGUCUGGGUAUUGUGAGCAUGCAGGUUGUUGUUUCUGUUAUUAUAAAUAAAAGUCAAACGUGAGGUCACACUUUCCCAUCUUCUGUUUAUACACCAAGUCAAACUUCUCAUUCAUGGAGACGGUGAAGAUGUCCUUCCACAGCCCAACUCUUCCUGAAACGCAAACAAGAGAACUGCUGGGGCCACUUGCUGUCCGGCCAGCUACUGAACUAAAGGAAGCCUUGGAAAUGGAUCUGGAACAUUCCAGAUCUAUUCCUGGAUCCCUUUGAACUUGGCCUAUGGGGGCAGGAAGGGCCGUCUGAGCUACAGACCAGGUGGUCCCCUAACAUUUGUGAAACUACUGGAUGCGGCAGAACAUGACCUGAACCAGCUUCCCUCUGAGGCUGUGGCACAGUGAGCCACAACCACCUCCUGGUGCCAUUCCACACCCCCCGCUGGGGCCCACCAGGGAGACUCUACUCCUGUUCAGUGCUGGGUCCCCAGCACCUAGAACGGCACCUGGCACGUGGCAGGUGUUUAAUAAACAUCCCAGGAGCGAGUAUGAUCUGCCGCGGGAGUGCACUGCUCUGGGCAUCACAGGCAGCCCUGGCCCUUCCCACGCCAUUAUCCACUCACAGCUCAACAGUGCCACCAAGGCGUCAUUGGCUUCGGGAGAAUUUGAAAAGGAAAAAAAAAUCAUUCAAAGUGCAGAAAAUUUUACACUAAGUAGGAAGCCCUCCUGACUGGGCCAAAGAUGCAGAUUUCAAGAAGCCUGCCCUGGCAAACCCUGGGGAGGAAUUUAAAGUGAAUCAAAUAGUCGCAGCAUUAGCUAGCUUUACAGACUAGAUGCAAAACAUGCACUGCAGUGAGAAUUCCCUGAGUCAACAAUAAAAUGAGUCUGGGCACAGCCCCCAGCUGCUCUAGCCCAGGCUUAGUCAGAAACCCAGACCUCUUCCUGGCAGCCACAAGGGAGGGCUGAGCUGUGGGAUAAACUGCAGGCACCGGUCUACGCUGGUUUAUGAAGGCUUUGGAAAAACGAAAGACAGCUCAACAUGACAAGAGAAGUUGUUGCUCCCAUUGUCUUUGUUAAUAUAAAAUCUUAGGUUGGUCUAGUCCAAUAGCAACGGUGACCGUGAAGAUGUCUGGGGCGGGGAUUCCAAACUUCCCAGUUAUGGGAGCUGUGAGCACAUCACCCGAGUACUGCCUCCCUGCUUUUGAAGAACUGCUCGUUUAGAAUUCUUUCCAUUGUCAGCUCUCUGAGAUCAGAGCUCUGUCUCCAGCAAAUGUCCUUCACUAGCUCCGUUAUUAACAGCGGUCCUUGUCCAGGCAGGACCUCAGGUUUUUCAAACUGCAACCCUGCAAAUGCUGAGCUAAAAUACCCAACGUAACACGGACUUUCUCUUUGGUAACAAAAAAUUAUCAGUGUUGGAGAGAAAAACAAGAAAAAUUAUUCUUGUAACCCUUUAAUGAUACCUAAGGGGCAAAAUUAGAAGCUGCUAGAGCAACCAAACUAUUUUUCCAUGAUUAUUUUUCUCAGCUGAGACAGCUGAGAGCUCGUCAGAGGAGUCACCCACCUGGUUUAGGAUUUGGAAUCAAGACAAUUUAUGCUGUGACAUGAAUCAAAUCUAAGCAAUGCAGCUGGCUACUCGGCCCUGCAUUCUCACCAACUCAAGAAGAUCUUCCGAGCAAAGACGCAAUGUGCUAAAAGAAAACAAAUCAAAGAACUGAAAUAAAGCAAAACCAAGGUAAACCAUGAUAAAGCAAACCCAAGGGAAGGAGCAUAUGGGCACACAGUAUGUUCUCGACGCUGCUUCACCACACACACACACACACACACACACACGUGAACCAAAAGGGGUAUUUUGGAGAAGGUCACAUCCAAGGAUAACAAAACACAGCAAAAGCAAAACUAAAAAAGAGCAAAUAAAUGUUAAAUAACAAAUAUUUAUGAAAAUGCAGCCAGGAAAGAAGUCGAGAGGGACUGUGGUUCAGUUCACUUCCUCCUGAGGAGUCCACUGCUCUGCCUUUAUAAGAGACGGCACUUUGCACUUGACCUUCAAACCGCCCUUAGCCGUGAUCAGCCCCUUUUCAGAGAAGAACAAAAAGCCGCAGAAGCUGAAGGCCUGACCUAUGUUGCGUUCCCAGAGGGCAGCAGAGCUGAGCUGGAGCCCAGCGCGUCUCUCAUCCGCCCCAGGCAUCUCCCACUCCAUCUUGUGGGGCUGCUGCUGAACAGAGCCAUCCACGUUUCUGGGCCCUCCCUGCAAACAUUCUCAACCCAGGAAGUGCCCAACACACCAAGUGUCCAUCAGGUUCAUACUUACCAACAGGGGGCCUCCUAUGGCCAAGGCCAGCACCCUGGGAUUCAGGGGUUUUAGAGCCUGGGCUCUCCAUCAUCAAAGCCAAAUGCCACACACCCUUAAGGACAGGGGGAGCAACCCAGGUGGAUCUGGGGAGGAUUCCUGUCAGGAACACUGUCCCCAUCUCCAGCUGCCUCAUGCCCACUGUCACUUGCCGCCAAGAGCAGGAACUGGCCUCCCUCUGUGCAGCGGCUUAGCUUGGUACUGUCUGCUUAAGUUCACCACCCCGAAGUGGGGCUAGGCCUCACCUGUGCUGCCUGCACCCAGAAGAUGCUCAGUCAGCGUCCACUCAGUGAAGGAAGAAAAACGGUGUCUCCUAACUUCCCGCCCACUUCAUUUAACUCUCCCACAAGUCAGUUAGAGACUGAGAAACCCAUCAGCAUGCUUUGCGCUUUGACAUGUCAUAGCACCAAACCCAGUCCCUGGAUCUGCUCUGUGGGGCGUUUGAUUUCAGGCCAUCUGAGUAGACUCCCUGCUGAGAAACAUCCCGCCCACAAAGCCUGAAAUGCACUUUUUCAAGUCAAAACACUGUUUGCUUGGAGGCAAUGCAAACACCAGCGGGCAGGGUACUCCGUCACUCCAUGAGCACUGUGCCAUCCAUGGGCACCAGCUAACAGAGCACAGGCCAUGGGCCAGCUACAGACUGCUGUAAAAGGAGAGCAGGGAGGGCAACAGGGACCGGACUCGGCUCCCUAAGCAGGCAGAGAAAGCAGCCUGGCUGGGGUGGGGAGUGCCUGGGCGGGAGGCAGGGUGGGGCACGUACCCCGGCCCACGGGCAGGGCCUCAGCGUUGCAGCACUGGUCCACCAGCUGGUGGCAGUGCUCCGUCAGGGCUUCCAGCUGGGCCUUGUCACAGGACACCCCCAGGAAUCUGGCCAGCUGCUCCACCAUCGUCACCAGGUCCUGGAAGACAAGUGCAGAGAGCAGAGCAGCCCAUCAGAGGCGGGGCCUUUUACUGGACACGACCCCAGGCUGGGCACACGCUGAGGACUUUUUACACACGGCCUUCCUUACUUAAUGCUCACAAGGCUGACAUCAGCCUUGUCCAGAAAUAACACUAAGAGGUUAAGAAAUCGCCCAAGUGUGCUCAGCUCUCACGUGGAGAUCUUGAAUUCAAACCCUGGUCCUCCAGGGAAUUGGGUUGCAGACAUGAGGUCUUAAUAGAGGUGUGGUUAAGUUUUAACAGGAGCAAGAAGUAAAAAACAUAUUUCAGAACAUGGUUCUUGUGAGGAGCAAGACCUAAUGGGCUCCUCUUUCCCUUCCUGCUGCCUGUCAGCUGGCGUCUGGGCUGGCCCUUGGGAGCGCAGGGAGGCCCCUCUGGUCUCCAGAUGGCCCUGCACUGGGCAGGGAGCCCGCUUCAUCACAGGCAAGAUUCCGUCAUGCCUGCCAUACCCUGCCCCAUUAUUUUACCACGCCUGACAGCGGAAUGUCACUGAUGUGGCUAACCGUCUUGAGGGGGCCAUUCCCCAGCCCCCCACCCCUGCCACUUUCUCCCCAAGAGAUGAGGCUCCUCGUCUUCUCAAUCACAGCCCUGAGCUGUCACCUAGAGGUGCCUUGGUCCCA
Molecule: long non-coding RNA, 15467 nt
Filed under: Homo sapiens (human)
Lineage: Eukaryota; Metazoa; Chordata; Mammalia; Primates; Hominidae
Description: HSALNT0406317
Source: RNAcentral